RNAcentral lists this long non-coding RNA (1730 nucleotides) under Nicotiana tabacum (common tobacco). Its description in RNAcentral is "long non-coding RNA (NTAB_LNC005086)". The record is from RNAcentral. Lineage: Eukaryota; Viridiplantae; Streptophyta; Magnoliopsida; Solanales; Solanaceae.
AAAACAUAGUUGAACAAUCAUAUCAUAAAUCCGGCUCGAUUAUAACAACUUGAGUCAAAACUUCAACCAACAAUUGGUUCGAUCAACCCUAGAUAAUUGUUUAGCUACUCAUAACAAAAUAAGGAAGAACUACUAAAUUGUUCAUAAUGUAAAAUUGCCAGAAUCAAAAAGAGAUAGAAGAACUCUAAUAUUUGGUUGAUCUUCUCACACUUGUUCUUCCUCCAAAAGUAGUCUAAAAUUAGCCUUUUUUUUAGUUGGGCAAAUGUCUAAAGUUUAUAAGGGUUUUACAAAAGUUUCCCCUAAACUACACUUUGGUCCACAACUUCCAGCGAUUGAACAGUUCACCGUGGUCGCGGUCGACCGCGGUGAACGCUGAGCUUUCUGCCUCCUUGAAUUAAUCUGUCGCGGUUCACCGCGGUCGCGGUGGCCUUCUUGCCCGGACCAUUUAUGCUUCUUGAUGUUCGGGUACUUCUCGAGUGGACGUUUUUCUUCACAUUAUCGCCUCCAAAAACACUCCAUGUUGCUUCCUCUCAUAUAAUAUUCCCUGCUAAACAAAAGAACACUAUUUAGAGCAUUUUGUUGGCAAUAUAUCUAUAAAACAACAACAAAGUAUGGUCAUAUUAAGGUGUAAAUAUCAACUAUAUAGCCUACUAUCAUGGCACAACAACUAACAUUGUCGAUUUAGAUAUUCCUAUUGGAAUAGGAGCUAAAGGCUUGUCAUAACCAAACUCGUGGACGAUAGAAUUAUCGUUUAAUUCCAGGGAAUAUAUUUGUUGCUCACUUCUAAUACUCAGAGGCGGAUCUAGAACUUUAAGUUUAUGGGUUCCUAUAACAAUCUCAAGUUAAUCUACAUGAUAACUGGACCAACGAACUGAAUUCCAAGCUAAAUAUUCUUAUACUUUUAAUGAGUUUUUUAGUACAAAUACAGGAUCUAUGCAAAAGUUACUGGGUUUACGGGAACCCGUAACCUUUGCUCUAGAUCCGCCCCUGCUAAUACUCAUAAUUAAACGGUGGAAUGAGGCAAAUAGCAUCGAAGAACCAUAACUAUCUGAAAAAGGCAUUUGUAACCCAAUACACAAAACCUCCUCAUAAUCUUUUCCCUUUAACUAAAUAAUACCUCCUCAAAAUCUAAAAAUCAACCCAACUCAGAAUAUAACAUAUAAUCCAGUUAAAAUACCCUCAACCAUUGCAAUUCACGUAACACUAAAUAAGGAAAAAAGAUUAAUUGACAGAAAAAAAGGAAGAAAAAACAGCAUGUCUAAGUCUCAAUAUUGCAAUCCUAUGAAUUUUCAAAAGGAAACAAAAAUAGAAACAAGACUAUACAUCAUAAUUCAACAAAGAUUAUACUAAAAGGAUCAUUUUAAGCAUUUGAACAGUUACAAUUUCAAAUGAAAACCAAAAUCUACUCCAAAUUCAAAUAGAGAAAAUAUAUCACCCACAGAUAUAUUUAAGUAAUCUGUAAGUCAACAAUCAAAGGAGCAUCAAUUUCUUCCAUCUUGAAUGCUAGCGAUAAAUAAGCCAUAGCUAUGAAAUUUAUGAGCUUUACUUCCCUGUAAAACCAAAAAAGCAAUAUAGCAGAAUGCAGGCAAUCAUCUAUUAUAAUAGAAAGACAAAUUGCAUGCAUCUAUGUUGAAAUUGUAGAAAAUUCAUAGAACAAUAGAAAUUGAUUUGCAUAGUUUAUUAACAUACAAAAACACAUCCCUCCAAACCCAGAACAGAUAUGACCCUUC